This 292-nucleotide ribosomal RNA is filed under the name uncultured bacterium. RNAcentral's name for it is "partial 16S ribosomal RNA". It matches the Rfam family "Bacterial small subunit ribosomal RNA", at positions 505 to 796 of the family's 1533-position model. The record is from RNAcentral.
GUGCCAGCAGCCGCGGUAAUACGAAGGGGGCGAGCGUUGUUCGGAUUUACUGGGCGUAAAGGGCGCGCAGGCGGUUCUGUUUGUCGAGUGUGAAAGCCCCGGGCUCAACCUGGGAACUGCGCUCGAAACGGCGGAACUAGAGUUCGGGAGAGGAGAGUGGAAUUCCCAGUGUAGAGGUGAAAUUCGUAGAUAUUGGGAAGAACACCGGUGGCGAAGGCGGCUCUCUGGACCGAUACUGACGCUGAGGCGCGAAAGCGUGGGGAGCAAACAGGAUUAGAAACCCCCGUAGUCC